GUGAGAUUUGAAGAGAGAGGGGAGCUUCUAACCUAGGAGGGACCUCACCCCACAGCCAAACUCUGGUCCCUAAGGAGACCCCAGGGGCUCACAAAGAUCCCAGGGAGGGGAGGACCUGCUCAGGCUUCAGGGGGCAAAUCCCUCACAGGGAACUCUCUUCCAGGGCUGAGUCUGGGCCCCAGGACCCGCGUGCAGACAGGACCAUCCCCAAGCCCACCCUGUGGGCUGAGCCAGACUCUGUGAUCACCCAGGGGAGUCCCGUCACCCUCAGUUGUCAGGGGAGCCUUGAAGCCCAGGAGUACCGUCUAUAUAGGGAGAAAAAAUCAGCAUCUUGGAUUACACGGAUACGACCAGAGCUUGUGAAGAACGGCCAGUUCCACAUCCCAUCCAUCACCUGGGAACACACAGGGCGAUAUGGCUGUC
This 423-nucleotide long non-coding RNA is filed under the name Homo sapiens (human). Its description in RNAcentral is "non-protein coding lnc-LILRB5-4:1". Lineage: Eukaryota; Metazoa; Chordata; Mammalia; Primates; Hominidae. The record is from RNAcentral.